UCUGGUUGAUCCUGCCAGAGGCUAUUGCUAUCAGGGUUUGACUAAGCCAUGCGAGUCGAGAGGUGUCAAGACCUCGGCGUACUGCUCAGUAACACGUGGAUAAUCUGCCCUCAGGAGAGGAAUAAUCCCGGGAAACUGGGGCUAAUGCCUCAUAGGAGACGGGUGCUGGAAUGCUCUGUCUCCAAAAGGUCCGCCGCCUGAGGAUGAGUCUGCGGCCGAUUAGGUUGUUGUUGGGGUAACGGCCCAACAAGCCCGUGAUCGGUACGGGUUGUGGGAGCAAGAGCCCGGAGAUGGAUUCUGAGACAUGAAUCCAGGCCCUACGGGGCGCAGCAGGCGCGAAAACUUUACAAUGCGAGCAAUCGUGAUAAGGAAACCCUGAGUGCCUGUCAAUGCAGGCUGUUCUGGUGUUUAGCACGCACCAGGAGAAAGGGCGGGGCAAGACCGGUGCCAGCCGCCGCGGUAAUACCGGCUGCUCGAGUGAUAGCCGCUUUUACUGGGCUUAAAGCGUUCGUAGCUUGGUCGUUAAGUCUCUGGGGAAAUCUUCUGGCUUAACCAGAAGGCGUCUCAGUGAAACUAGCGACCUAGGAACCGGGAGAGGUGAGACGUACUUCGGGGGUAGGAGUGAAAUCUUGUAAUCCUCGAGGGACGACCGAUGGCGAAGGCAUCUCACCAGAACGGCUUCGACAGUGAGGGACGAAAGCUGGGGGAGCAAACCGGAUUAGAUACCCGGGUAGUCCCAGCCGUAAACGAUGUGCGUUAGGUGUGUCGGUGACCACGAGUCGCCGAGGUGCCGAAGGGAAACCGUGAAACGCACCGCCUGGGAAGUACGGUCGCAAGGCUGAAACUUAAAGGAAUUGGCGGGGGAGCACCACAACGGGUGGAGCCUGCGGUUUAAUUGGAUUCAACGCCGGACAACUCACCGGAUACGACAGCGGAAUGAUAGCCGGGCUGAAGACUCUGCUUGACCAGCUGAGAGGAGGUGCAUGGCCGUCGUCAGUUCGUACUGUGAAGCAUCCUGUUAAGUCAGGCAACGAGCGAGACCCACGCCAACAGUUGCCAGCAUGGUCUUUGGACUGAUGGGGACACUGUUGGGACCGCCUCUGCUAAAGAGGAGGAAGGAAUGGGCAACGGUAGGUCAGCAUGCCCCGAAUUAUCCGGGCUACACGCGGGCUACAUUGGAUGGGACAAUGGGUCUCGACACCGAAAGGUGAAGGUAAUCUCCUAACCCCACCCCUGGUUCGGAUUGCGGGCUGCAACUCGCCCGCAUGAAGCUGGAAUCCGUAGUAAUCGCGUCUCACGAUGGCGCGGUGAAUAUGUCCCUGCUCCUUGCACACACCGCCCGUCAAACCACCCGAGUGGGGUCUGGAUGAGGCUGCAGUAUCUGCUGUGGUCGAAUCUAGGUUCGCAAGGGGGGUUAAGUCGUAACAAGGUAGCCGUAGGGGAAUCUGCGGCUG
RNAcentral lists this ribosomal RNA (1454 nucleotides) under anaerobic digester metagenome. RNAcentral describes it as "bacterial SSU rRNA". It matches the Rfam family "Archaeal small subunit ribosomal RNA". The record is from RNAcentral.